AAACUUUCAACAAUGGAUCUCUUGGUUCCGGCAUCGAUGAAGAACGCAGCGAAAUGCGAUAACUAAUGUGAAUUGCAGAAUUCAGUGAAUCAUCGAGUCUUUGAACGCACAUUGCGCCCCCUGGUAUUCCGGGGGGCAUGCCUGUCCGAGCGUCAUUGC
Molecule: ribosomal RNA, 159 nt
Filed under: Aspergillus niger
Lineage: Eukaryota; Fungi; Ascomycota; Eurotiomycetes; Eurotiales; Aspergillaceae
Also listed under: 3 other names
Description: rRNA 5.8S rRNA
Rfam family: 5.8S ribosomal RNA
About the family: 5.8S ribosomal RNA (5.8S rRNA) is a component of the large subunit of the eukaryotic ribosome. It is transcribed by RNA polymerase I as part of the 45S precursor that also contains 18S and 28S rRNA.
Source: RNAcentral